RNAcentral lists this transfer RNA (73 nucleotides) under Salmo salar (Atlantic salmon). It matches the Rfam family "tRNA". Rfam says of the family: Transfer RNA (tRNA) molecules are approximately 80 nucleotides in length. Their secondary structure includes four short double-helical elements and three loops (D, anti-codon, and T loops). Further hydrogen bonds mediate the characteristic L-shaped molecular structure. tRNAs have two regions of fundamental functional importance: the anti-codon, which is responsible for specific mRNA codon recognition, and the 3' end, to which the tRNAs corresponding amino acid is attached (by aminoacyl-tRNA synthetases). tRNAs cope with the degeneracy of the genetic code in two manners: having more than one tRNA (with a specific anti-codon) for a particular amino acid; and 'wobble' base-pairing, i.e. permitting non-standard base-pairing at the 3rd anti-codon position. The record is from Rfam by way of RNAcentral. Lineage: Eukaryota; Metazoa; Chordata; Actinopteri; Salmoniformes; Salmonidae.
ACUACUCUAGCUCAGUUGGUAGAGCAUGGUGUUUGCAACACCAGGGUUGUGGGUUCGAUUCCCACGGGGGGCC